RNAcentral lists this ribosomal RNA (320 nucleotides) under uncultured eukaryote. Its description in RNAcentral is "partial 18S ribosomal RNA". It matches the Rfam family "Eukaryotic small subunit ribosomal RNA", at positions 1470 to 1796 of the family's 1831-position model. The record is from RNAcentral.
CCCCUAGAUGUUCUGGGCCGCACGCGCGCUACACUGAACAGUUCAACAAGUCUUAUCCUUGGCCGAUAGGUCUGGGUAAUCUUUGAACGCUGUUCGUGAUUGGGAUAGACCUUUGCAAUUAUGGGUCUUCAACGAGGAAUUCCUAGUAAACGCAAGUCAUCAGCUUGCAUUGAUUACGUCCCUGCCCUUUGUACACACCGCCCGUCGCACCUACCGAUUGAAUGGUCCGGUGAAAUCUCGGGACGGCGGCUUGGUCGCUUGCGUCCGACUGCUGAAACUUGAUUAAACCAUAUCAUUUAGAGGAAGGUGAAGUCGUAACA